CCUACGGGGGGCUGCAGUGGGGAAUCAUGGUCAAUGGGCGAAAGCCUGAACCUGCGACGCCGCGUGAGUGAUGAAGGUCGUAAGAUCGUAAAACUCUUUUCAGGGAUCUUAAAGGCAGCGCUCUAACAUAGCGUCUGCUGUGACUAUCCCUGGAAUAAGCCCCAGCCAACUACGUGCCAGCAGCUGCGGUAAUACGUAGGGGGCGAGCGUUAUUCGGAAUUACUGGGUGUAAAGGGUAUGUAGGCGGCCUGACAAGUCGCGUGUCAAAGUCCAGCGCUCAACGCUGGGUUCGCACGCGAUACUGUCAGGCUUGAGGACUGGAGAGGUGAGCGGAAUUCCCGGUGUAGUGGUAAAAUACGUAGAUAUCGGGAGGAACACCAGCGGCGUAGGCGGCUCACUAGACAGUUUCUGACGCUAAGAUACGAAAGCGUGGGGAGCAAACAGGAUUAGAUACCCGAGUAGUC
This 464-nucleotide ribosomal RNA is filed under the name uncultured Caldisericum sp. RNAcentral describes it as "bacterial SSU rRNA". It matches the Rfam family "Bacterial small subunit ribosomal RNA", at positions 338 to 795 of the family's 1533-position model. The record is from RNAcentral. Lineage: Bacteria; Pseudomonadati; Caldisericota; Caldisericia; Caldisericales; Caldisericaceae.